This 168-nucleotide ribosomal RNA is filed under the name uncultured bacterium. RNAcentral's name for it is "partial 16S ribosomal RNA". It matches the Rfam family "Bacterial small subunit ribosomal RNA", at positions 338 to 497 of the family's 1533-position model. The record is from RNAcentral.
CCUACGGGAGGCAGCAGUGAGGAAUUUUGCGCAAUGGGGGCAACCCUGACCCAGCAACGCCGCGUGAGUGAAGAAGGCCUUUGGGUCGUAAAGCUCUGUCAACAGGGAAGAAGUUACAAUUGUUUAACAGAUGAUUGUAUUGACGGUACCCUGGGAGGAAGCCCCGGC